CGGCGGGCCUGUUCCGUCGCCCCGUUCCCCYUCCCCCACGAACAAAACCCCGGCGCACGAUGCGCCAAGGAAUCGCAACGAGAAAAGGAACGAGCACCCGUUGCGCGCCGGGAACGGAAUGCGCACGGGCGGCCUCGUAUUCUUUGAAAACAAAAMGACUCUCGGCAACGGAUAUCUCGGCUCUCGCAUCGAUGAAGAACGUAGCGAAAUGCGAUACUUGGUGUGAAUUGCAGAAUCCCGUGAACCAUCGAGUCUUUGAACGCAAGUUGCGCCCGAAGCCUUCGGGCCGAGGGCACGUCUGCCUGGGUGUCAUGCACCGUCGCCCCCCAUCCCCACUCCCCCGAGGGGAGUCGGGAAGCCCGGGGCGGACAAUGGCCUCCCGUGCGCUCUCGCUCGCGGUUGGCCUAAAUCCGAGUUGUUGGCGGCGAGCGCCACGGCAAGCGGUGGUUGGAAAGACCCUCUGAAGUGCCG
RNAcentral lists this ribosomal RNA (471 nucleotides) under Barteria fistulosa. Its description in RNAcentral is "eukaryotic LSU rRNA". The stretch from base 157 to 312 matches the Rfam family "5.8S ribosomal RNA". The record is from RNAcentral. Lineage: Eukaryota; Viridiplantae; Streptophyta; Magnoliopsida; Malpighiales; Passifloraceae.